GAUGAACGCUGGCGGCGUGCCUAAUACAUGCAAGUCGAGCGAACAGACGAGGAGCUUGCUCCUCUGACGUUAGCGGCGGACGGGUGAGUAACACGUGGAUAACCUACCUAUAAGACUGGGAUAACUUCGGGAAACCGGAGCUAAUAACGGAUAAUAUAUUGAACCGCAUGGUUCAAUAGUGAAAGACGGUUUUGCUGUCACUUAUAGAUGGAUCCGCGCCGCAUUAGCUAGUUGGUAAGGUAACGGCUUACCAAGGCAACGAUGCGUAGCCGACCUGAGAGGGUGAUCGGCCACACUGGAACUGAGACACGGUCCAGACUCCUACGGGAGGCAGCAGUAGGGAAUCUUCCGCAAUGGGCGAAAGCCUGACGGAGCAACGCCGCGUGAGUGAUGAAGGUCUUCGGAUCGUAAAGCUCUGUUAUUAGGGAAGAACAAAUGUGUAAGUAACUAUGCACGUCUUGACGGUACCUAAUCAGAAAGCCACGGCUAACUACGUG
RNAcentral lists this ribosomal RNA (497 nucleotides) under uncultured bacterium. RNAcentral describes it as "partial 16S ribosomal RNA". It matches the Rfam family "Bacterial small subunit ribosomal RNA", at positions 28 to 507 of the family's 1533-position model. The record is from RNAcentral.